Long non-coding RNA from Mercurialis annua (annual mercury), 1972 nucleotides. RefSeq lists it as uncharacterized. Lineage: Eukaryota; Viridiplantae; Streptophyta; Magnoliopsida; Malpighiales; Euphorbiaceae. The transcript is spliced from 10 exons. The record is from RefSeq and is a predicted model, not a curated record.
CCGGCAAUUUCUUAGAGAUGGUUUUAAAUAGUGUCAUUAAAUUAUAAAAGUAGAAGUUAACGACGUUAUCUAGAGACGUGUUUUUAUUUCGUAGGUAUGUAACGGCGGUUUAAACCGUCUCUAUGUAUAAUUAAAGGUGAAAAGGGAAAUCUUUAAAUCUUUUUCACGCUGCUCUCACGUUCAGUUUAUCAUUUUCACAGCUUUCUCUUCCAUGCUUUCUCUUUGAUGCUUUCUCUUCAUGGAUGAAGAAGUUUAAAUAGAUUCAUCGAGUAAUUGAUUCAACGAUGCUUACUCUUAAUGCACAAUCUUCUUCCUUACUGAUUUUUUCAUCGAUUCAGAAACUUAUACAGAGUUAUUCUUCAUGGUGCUCAAAGUUCAGAUUACUGCCUCGAGAAUCGAUUGUGAGGUUUCUAUCAGGGAGUGUUAGCUCACUUGCUAGUGCUUACUCUCCUCCUCCAUUUGCAGAUCUCAUUUUCUUUCUUAGUCUUGAAUCAUUAUUUCAUUAAGGUAUUAUACUCUUUUUAGUUUAUUUAUUGUUAGUCUUCUGUGUUACAAUGAGCUUGCUUUCAAAGGGAAUGAACAAAUUUAGAAAAGGGACUGUUAUGUGGACUUUUUAGCUAGAAUUUGUGCAUUUUGUUUCCAUCUACUUUAUCAUUUACCUGUAAGUGACAGAUUGCUGUAAUUUUCAACUCUCUAGAGGCCAAUGGGAAUUUACUGGUUACUUUGAUAUAUUCUCACAAGUUGAACCAGUGGUAAGUUAUUGAGUUCUGUUUGAUGAAUGUGCUAGUUAGGUGUCUAUAUGAAGGUGAUAUGUUUCUGGUUAGUCAAUUGAUAGAGGAAAAUGAUGAAAAUAGAUUCCCAGCCUGGUAAUUUAGUACUUUAUUUGAUAGCACAUGAUCUAUGUUACAUGGAAACUUUUGCCUCUUUCCAUCAAAUUGUUUUGAAGCUAUGUCAUGUCAUAGACUUAAAAGCCGUUUAAAUAUUUUAAUAUUCUGGCUGAUUUUCUAAUUAGGCAAGCAUGAGGACAACACCUUGAUCUGCAUGAUUCUCCUCUCUUAGCUCUAGCAGCUACUGAGUGUCAGUUACUCGAAGCAGAAUAUGAGGAAUAUGCAAUUGCUAAUAGUAGUAGUAUCGCUUGUCUUCGAUCGGUUGUCCUAAUUGAAACCAAAAAUAUGCACAGGGUUUAGAAACGUACUAUGAACGGAUUAUGUCUAGCCCUAAUUUGGUGCUUCACAUGGAGCUUCUCUGCUAAUAUCUAUUGUAUCCUACUUUUUCAGGACUGAAACUUGCGGCUGAGAUUGGAACUCCAAAUAUUGCUAAAUCAGGGGAUACAAAAUAAACGUACAAAUAAAAAAGCUUCAUCGGUUUCAGAAGGUCAAAAGAAUGAGGGAAACAUUAUAUUCUGCUCUUCUUCUCCAGGAUUCUGCCAUUUGUACCAGCUGAUGAGAAAGUGAUUAUUUUUAAGUUGCUUGCCUCGUUAGGGAACAAAGGUGCUGUUUGGACUUGGCUUAUCUAGCCAUGGAUGCUAUCGGAUUGUAAUAUAAUUGUGAGACGCACUACUCCCAUCAGCUAAUUUAUAGCAUGGAUGUCUUACCCAAGUGUUGAUGCUAUAAAUGAUCCCGUCAUGGGAAAAUCAAGUGCGAGGCUCAAGUUGUUAGUGCCAGAAGGAAGCGCUGUCUGAUAAAAAAAUUCCAUACAUGGCUCACAAAAACAGAAGACUUGCCAAAUCAAAGGAAGAAACAUUAAGAGAGCAAGGGGAACAAAAUAGUUUGGCAGGGGAAAGAAUGCAAAAGAUUGAGCUAAUAAAUAUACAAGUGGGAUUGCAAGAUCAUCUUUCAAAGACUUAAUUUUUUCUUGAAUUCAAUAUGAAUUUUUUUGUUGAAGUCACAAAUUCAAAAUGAAUCAACAGAAUCUAAUGUAUCAAUUUUUGACCAUAAACAUUACUAUUUAUUAGUAUUAUAACUUCAGAAAA